GCGAACCGGGGGAACUGAAACAUCUAAGUACCCCGAGGAAAAGAAAUCAACCGAGAUUCCCCCAGUAGCGGCGAGCGAACGGGGAGGAGCCCAGAGCCUGAAUCAGCAUGUGUGUUAGUGGAAGCGUCUGGAAAGGCGCGCGAUACAGGGUGACAGCCCCGUACACAAAAGCGCAUGUGCUGUGAGCUCGAUGAGUAGGGCGGGACACGUGGUAUCCUGUCUGAAUAUGGGGGGACCAUCCUCCAAGGCUAAAUACUCCUGACUGACCGAUAGUGAACCAGUACCGUGAGGGAAAGGCGAAAAGAACCCCGGCGAGGGGAGUGAAAAAGAACCUGAAACCGUGUACGUACAAGCAGUGGGAGCNNGGGCGUUAAGUUGCAGGGUAUAGACCCGAAACCCGGUGAUCUAGCCAUGGGCAGGUUGAAGGUUGGGUAACACUAACUGGAGGACCGAACCGACUAAUGUUGAAAAAUUAGCGGAUGACCUGUGGCUGGGGGUGAAAGGCCAAUCAAACCGGGAGAUAGCUGGUUCUCCCCGAAAGCUAUUUAGGUAGCGCCUCGUGAAUUCAUCUCCGGGGGUAGAGCACUGUUUCGGCUAGGGGGCCAUCCCGGCUUACCAACCCGAUGCAAACUGCGAAUACCGGAGAAUGUUAUCACGGGAGACACACGGCGGGUGCUAACGUCCGUCGUGAAGAGGGAAACAACCCAGACCGCCAGCUAAGGUCCCAAAGUCAUGGUUAAGUGGGAAACGAUGUGGGAAGGCCCAGACAGCCAGGAUGUUGGCUUAGAAGCAGCCAUCAUUUAAAGAAAGCGUAAUAGCUCACUGGUCGAGUCGGCCUGCGCGGAAGAUGUAACGGGGCUAAACCAUGCACCGAAGCUGCGGCAGCGANNUGCUGGAGGUAUCAGAAGUGCGAAUGCUGACAUAAGUAACGAUAAAGCGGGUGAAAAGCCCGCUCGCCGGAAGACCAAGGGUUCCUGUCCAACGUUAAUCGGGGCAGGGUGAGUCGACCCCUAAGGCGAGGCCGAAAGGCGUAGUCGAUGGGAAACGGGUUAAUAUUCCCGUACUUGGUGUUACUGCGAAGGGGGGACGGAGAAGGCUAUGUUGGCCGGGCGACGGUUGUCCCGGUUUAAGCGUGUAGGUGUGUGUUCCAGGUAAAUCCGGUUCACUUUAACACUGAGGCGUGACGACGAGGCACUACGGUGCUGAAGCAACAAAUGCCCUGCUUCCAGGAAAAGCCUCUAAGCAUCAGGUAACAUCAAAUCGUACCCCAAACCGACACAGGUGGUCAGGUAGAGAAUACCAAGGCGCUUGAGAGAACUCGGGUGAAGGAACUAGGCAAAAUGGUGCCGUAACUUCGGGAGAAGGCACGCUGACAUGUAGGUGAAGUGAUUUACUCAUGGAGCUGAAGUCAGUCGAAGAUACCAGCUGGCUGCAACUGUUUAUUAAAAACACAGCACUGUGCAAACACGAAAGUGGACGUAUACGGUGUGACGCCUGCCCGGUGCCGGAAGGUUAAUUGAUGGGGUCAGCGCAAGCGAAGCUCCUGAUCGAAGCCCCGGUAAACGGCGGCCGUAACUAUAACGGUCCUAAGGUAGCGAAAUUCCUUGUCGGGUAAGUUCCGACCUGCACGAAUGGCGUAAUGAUGGCCAGGCUGUCUCCACCCGAGACUCAGUGAAAUUGAACUCGCUGUGAAGAUGCAGUGUACCCGCGGCAAGACGGAAAGACCCCGUGAACCUUUACUAUAGCUUGACACUGAACAUUGAGCCUUGAUGUGUAGGAUAGGUGGGAGGCUUUGAAGUGUGGACGCCAGUCUGCAUGGAGCCGACCUUGAAAUACCACCCUUUAAUGUUUGAUGUUCUAACGUGGACCCGUUAUCCGGGUUGCGGACAGUGUCUGGUGGGUAGUUUGACUGGGGCGGUCUCCUCCUAAAGAGUAACGGAGGAGCACGAAGGUUGGCUAAUCCUGGUCGGACAUCAGGAGGUUAGUGCAAUGGCAUAAGCCAGCUUGACUGCGAGCGUGACGGCGCGAGCAGGUGCGAAAGCAGGUCAUAGUGAUCCGGUGGUUCUGAAUGGAAGGGCCAUCGCUCAACGGAUAAAAGGUACUCCGGGGAUAACAGGCUGAUACCGCCCAAGAGUUCAUAUCGACGGCGGUGUUUGGCACCUCGAUGUCGGCUCAUCACAUCCUGGGGCUGAAGUAGGUCCCAAGGGUAUGGCUGUUCGCCAUUUAAAGUGGUACGCGAGCUGGGUUUAGAACGUCGUGAGACAGUUCGGUCCCUAUCUGCCGUGGGCGCUGGAGAACUGAGGGGGGCUGCUCCUAGUACGAGAGGACCGGAGUGGACGCAUCACUGGUGUUCGGGUUGUCAUGCCAAUGGCACUGCCCGGUAGCUAAAUGCGGAAGAGGUAAGGGCUGAAAGCAUCUAAGCCCGAAACUUGCCCCGGGAUGAGUUUGCCCUGAGAACUAGAGCCUCCUGAAGGAACGAUGAAAGCGAC
This 2489-nucleotide ribosomal RNA is filed under the name Salmonella enterica subsp. enterica serovar Tennessee. Its description in RNAcentral is "bacterial LSU rRNA". It matches the Rfam family "Bacterial large subunit ribosomal RNA". Lineage: Bacteria; Pseudomonadati; Pseudomonadota; Gammaproteobacteria; Enterobacterales; Enterobacteriaceae. The record is from RNAcentral.